GAGCACGGCAACCUUGACUUCCCCCUAUCUGCCAACAACAUCAAAUCAGUCAUACUGGUAUAUAACUAUUUCUUGUCAUUUUUGUUAUUUCAAGCUUCAGCAAUUAAUGCAAUAACUAUUCAUUUGGCACCAUAACUAAAAAUUCAUUAUCCACUUUCAGGACAUAUUUGCUGCAGGAAGUGAAACAUCAUCAACAAUUGUUGAAUGGGCGAUGUCAGAACUGCUGAAGAAUCCAGGAUCAAUGGAAAAGGCUAAAGCUGAGGUGAGAGAUGUCUUUAAAGGCAAAGGAUAUGUGGAUGAAGAGAGCUUUCAUGAACUAAAGUUCCUUAAAUCAGUUAUUAAGGAAACAUUAAGGCUGCACAAUCCUGUGCCUUUGAUACCAAGGGAAUGCCGUGAGAACUGUAAGCUUGGUGGAUAUGAGAUACCUGCGAAGACUAAAGUCCUGAUCAAUUCAUGGGCAAUUACAAGGGAUCCUAGACACUGGAGUGAACCUGAUAAAUUUAAUCCAGAAAGGUUCCUCAAUAGCUCACUUGACUUUAAAGGAACAGAUUUCCAAAAUAUUCCAUUUGGUGCAGGAAGGAGGAUAUGUCCAGGCAUAUCAUUUGCUCAUGCUAAUAUUGAAAUGCAACUUGCCCAAUUCUUGUACCAUUUCGAUUGGAAGCUCCCCAAUGGAAUGAAGCAUGAAGAACUGGACAUGACAGAUGCGCCUGGUUUAACAAUAAGGAGGAAACACGACCUGUUCGCGAUUCCAAUUCCUUAUCAUCCUUGUCCCUCUUGAAUAAAACAAAGUAUCAGAUGUUCAUUUGGCUAAUAUUGGUUUAAGCCAUUGUGAUAUAUAGUGUUAGUACUACUAAGGUCUUUAUUCUGUUAAAUUAUGGCAUAGUCUGUAAGGGUUAAAGCUUGGUUGUUGUAUGGUAAACCGUAAUGAAUUAAGGUUGAUGUCUUGCAAAAGUAAAGAGCUCUUCUAUUGUUUGGAAUGCAAGAAUAUAUCUGGAACGACCCAACUUCGAUCGCUACCAGCGUCCGAGACCUCCUGGAGAUCCUGCCAAGUCUAGAAUAAGUCUUUAUGAAAUUCUCGAGACAUUUAUUAAAUAUGCUCUCACGUAUGUAAGCGAUUAAUAAUAAAAAUAAUUGUACUACAAAUUUUCCCAUUUCAAAUAAUGACAAAUAAGUGUCAACCACAAGGUUUUUAACAAUACAUAUUCAUGAAUUAACAAUAAUUCACAACAUCUAAAAAUCUUAUGUAACUCGACCCUAGACAGCGGAGCUACUCGGAUAGAAUGCUAUGAGAUGCCUUUACCUAUCCAUGGUGGACCGUGCGCGUCGAUGAUUUCACGCUAGGCUGAUCUCUAUCUGUAAAAAGGGAAAAAUGAGGGGUGUGAGUCUCAUAGACUCAAUGAUCAUCAGCUCUGUGAGUAGAGCGUAGAUGAGAAACAGGCAAUAAGAUAGAGAUUUUGAAUAAUAAAAAUUGCAAGAGUAGAUAAAAAUAUUUAAUUCAAACGAAGAAAUUAUGCCUUAUAUAUAUAAGAAAAUAUCGAGAAUCUCUUGUAAGUCGUAAUCAACCAUAAUGUAUAUCAAAUCAAGUAAGUAAACUUUUGUGCAGCAAGAAGGUUAAUAACCAUUUUCAAACUAAAUCAGUAAAAUAUCAUUUUAAACCUCAUGUUUGUAAAAGAUCUCUACAGUUGAAAUUAUCUCAUGUAAUACUCAAAUCAAAUCAAUAAAGUUGGGCAAGCUCCCGCAAAACCAAACAGUAACUAGGUUUAUACACAGUUCGUAAAUCGCCUCGCACGCGAGGGUAAAAUUCAUAUAACAAUAAAUCCAGGGGGAGUUGCAGGAAAUCGUAUAAUUUCAUUUUCACCAUGCAUGAAAUAAGAGUUUGAAAACCCAAAGAGAUUUUUUGUCUCGAGUAGGAAAUCAAAUAAGAUCUGUGGUCCCGCUACCACGUAAUAACAUCCGGGAGCCUUGCUCCACUGGAUCCUACAUGCCAUGGCAGUCUCAACGAUGUUGGUCGACAUCGGAGAAUCAAGUGGUUGCAACCGUGUAAUCAUCUGGUGGCCUAGCCACGCAUACAUAUAUCACAGGUCGUGGUCCCCGCCACGCCUAACAGCCUGUCGACGACCCAAAGGUUCUCUAGCUAGAGCUCACUCGUGCACGAGGGUCACACUUAACCAAAGUGACAGCCAACCUAUUCUCGAAUCUCUCGGUUUAUUAAACCAUUUUAGAAAUCACUUUAUGUCCUUGAAAUCUCGUUUCAAAAUUAUUUCCAAAGCAUUGAACAUAGGGUAUGAUAAAAUCUAUCAUCAUUUCCAUAAAAUAGAAUUUAUGCAUGAAUUUCGAAAUAACAUGUAACGACCCAAGUCCAACCACUGGCCUAGUAGCUUUUUGGGCCUAAGCCACGUUGCCCUCAAAAGUUCAAGCUCAAGUUGCUUAUAGUGGUGGGCUUGGAUUAUUGUAUAGGUCUUAACAAUCACAUUCACAUCAGAUGUGGGAUGUUGGGUAUCACACAACAAUUCGCAUGGCAAAAAAGUAUCAUAAUCAUGUAUGCACACUGCACAAUGAUAAGGCACAGAUUUUGAUGUAAAACAGUGUGAAGGGCUUGUUUUCCGAUUUUCAAAACACUUUACAUAUAAUUUAUACAUAUAUAUUCAAAACAAUUUUUGAAAAUAAUUUGCAUUCACAAUUCCCUAAAAUGUCUACCAGCACAUGUUAUCCAUAAUUUUCGAGUUUAUAAUAAAUCAUACGUAUAGGUAUAUAUUUAAGAAAAUUUUAAAAUUGACACCCCCACUCACCUAAUGAUAGCGGGACACUACAUCGCUAUUUCUACUUGCCGGUCACUCGUCACUUGCUUCGGCACGUCGCUAUAGUACACUAUCUUACUUUGGACUUCCAAUUUGGGCUGGGUCGCCUAAGUCUCCACUUUCUUUUUCUCUUUUGGACUUUUCUUUUUCUUAUAUCCAUUGGGCCCUUCUCAUGGGCUCUUCC
This 2982-nucleotide long non-coding RNA is filed under the name Theobroma cacao (cacao). RNAcentral's name for it is "long non-coding RNA (TCAC_LNC004142)". The record is from RNAcentral. Lineage: Eukaryota; Viridiplantae; Streptophyta; Magnoliopsida; Malvales; Malvaceae.